AUCGAUCGGGUGUUGGAGAGAUUACAUAUAGAUAACAUAUGAUAUUGACCUGGUAAAAAAAGGAAGAUUUUAGAUAAAUGAAGGUCUAUGUAUAUUAAGAUAAUGUAGGUCUAUGUAUACUUUUGUCUGCUUUAUCAUCCGAUCUAAAAGAUGAAGUGGAUGACUCAUCUUGGAGAUUGCAUAUGGAAGCAACCAUGUGGAUGCUUGCGACAGUACAUAGAGGAUUAUUUCAAUAGUGGUGGAUCGAACCUUGCUUAGCCUAGCAAUGAG
Molecule: unclassified non-coding RNA, 270 nt
Filed under: Hevea brasiliensis (rubber tree)
Lineage: Eukaryota; Viridiplantae; Streptophyta; Magnoliopsida; Malpighiales; Euphorbiaceae
Source: RNAcentral